AGGGACGUCCUGGAGCUGAUGGUGCUAGAGGAAUGCCAGGAGAACCUGGUGCAAAGGGUGACAGAGGAUUUGAUGGUCUUCCUGGUCUCCCUGGUGACAAAGGUAACAGGGGAGACCGUGGCCCACAGGGACCUCCUGGCUUACCUGGUGAAGAUGGAUCAAGAGGAGAAGAUGGGGAGGUUGGACCAAGAGGUCUCCCAGGUGAAGCUGGUCCACGGGGAUUACUGGGCCCCAGAGGUACACCUGGUCCCCCUGGACAACCAGGCAUUGCAGGUGUUGAUGGACCUUCAGGCCCAAAAGGAAACAUGGGUCCUCAAGGGGAACCAGGACCUCCUGGUCAGCAAGGAAUUCCAGGCCCACAAGUAAGUGUAAAAUAACUCUCAAGAAACACGAUGUAAUGUGCAGCAAAUGUUUAAUAAAUGGAAAUUACUAAAAGGCUAGCUU
Molecule: long non-coding RNA, 444 nt
Filed under: Athene cunicularia (burrowing owl)
Lineage: Eukaryota; Metazoa; Chordata; Aves; Strigiformes; Strigidae
Description: lncRNA (ENSACUG00000007956.1)
Source: RNAcentral